GCAUGGAUAAAAAACUACAACUUUUAUAUAUUUUUUUUAAACAGGAGUCACUGGUUUUAAUUAUUUUUACACAUUUUAAAAUUACUGUGAUAAAAAAUAAUGAAAAAGCUUUUUAAUAAUGCCAUACACAGUAUAAUAUAGAUCUUUCCCCUUACAUAAGCUUUUGUUUAAUAUACAAAAUAGAAUAUCGACACACUUGAAUCUAUAUGUGGUUAGGCAAGGUAAAAUAUCUAAGGGGGCUAUUUUCAUACACACAGCCUUUCAUCAGAAAGCGGAAUCCUUCUUUGAAAGAGACUCUAUUUCUUUCCUAAAAAUGAGGCUCUUGUCUCAGCACACCCAUAGCCACUGAUGCACUGAGACCUGGAAUACGUGCCUGGUUUUGGAUGACAGUUGUGCCAUUUAAAAUACUGUUUAAUGUAUUCUCCUUGUACUUCUCUCCCUUCCCUCCACUGUCUUUAUGCUGGAAACAGGCUGAUGAAACACACAUUAUAACUAAUAUCUACAACCUUUUUUUGGUGAUUUGACAAUAUCAUAUCCCUUUAUCAAAGCAAAGGAACUCAAUUAUACUGGGUUUUUUUUUUUUUUUUUUAACAGCCUAUGGGGUUAUCAAGACAAGUUUUUCAGAAGGCAUGUUUAAUUAAACCUGUAGAUUUAGGGAUAGUUGAGCACUGUCUCUGUGGAGGGGAGAAGGCUUUUUUUGAUGUGCUACUUAUAACAAGGUUAGAUUUCAUUUUUGAAUCUCAUUCUAUGCUAAUUCCAUUAACACAAACCAAUUGCUGGCUCUUCUUCCUUCUUUGGACAGGAUGGUGAUACAGCGUUUCAUGGAUGAAAAGUUGGGCAGUAUGGAUUUCCUGUCUUACUUUUGUAAACCAAUUACCUUUCCUGUCUCCCUGCUAAGAUGGAAGAAUAGCAGAUACCAGGAGGCCACAGAAUUUUGUUUCCAUGUUGCUCAGUUACCUCGCUCUAUCUCUGUGGUACUCAAUAUCACAUUAUAAAGUCACCAAAGAAGGAUCACAUUUUUGAGCUAUAACCGGAAGCAUUUUUCAUGUAUCUGUAUGGGACACACAUGCCUUACAACUCACACUAAAGUGAAUAACAACUUUAAAAAGGUGAGAAUAGUUAAAUACUAGUGGGAGAAUGAAGGCUGCUUGCAAGUAGCACCUGGUCUAACUUUU
RNAcentral lists this long non-coding RNA (1175 nucleotides) under Sarcophilus harrisii (Tasmanian devil). RNAcentral's name for it is "lncRNA (ENSSHAG00000021034.1)". Lineage: Eukaryota; Metazoa; Chordata; Mammalia; Dasyuromorphia; Dasyuridae. The record is from RNAcentral.